Molecule: ribosomal RNA, 468 nt
Filed under: uncultured bacterium
Lineage: Bacteria
Description: partial 16S ribosomal RNA
Rfam family: Bacterial small subunit ribosomal RNA
Source: RNAcentral
GACGAACGCUGGCGGCGUGCUUAACACAUGCAAGUCGAACGGAAAGGCCCUGCUUUUGUGGGGUGCUCGAGUGGCGAACGGGUGAGUAACACGUGAGUAACCUGCCCUUGACUUUGGGAUAACUUCAGGAAACUGGGGCUAAUACCGGCUAGGAGCUCCUGCUGCAUGGUGGGGGUUGGAAAGUUUCGGCGGUUGGGGAUGGGCUCGCGGCUUAGCAGCUGGUUGGUGGGGUAGUGGCUUACCAAGGCUUUGACGGGUAGCCGGCCUGAGAGGGUGACCGGCCACAUUGGGACUGAGGUACGGCGCAGACUGCUACGGGAGGGAGCAGUGGAGAAUAGUGCACAGUGGGCUGAAGCCUGAUGCAGCGGCGCCGCGUGCGGGAUGACGGCCUUCGGGUUGUAGACCGCUUUCGCCUGUGACGGAGCGUGAGUGAAGGUAAUGGGUAAAGAAGCACCGGCUAACUACGUG